RNAcentral lists this ribosomal RNA (774 nucleotides) under Triticum aestivum (bread wheat). RNAcentral describes it as "partial small subunit ribosomal RNA". The record is from RNAcentral. Lineage: Eukaryota; Viridiplantae; Streptophyta; Magnoliopsida; Poales; Poaceae.
AUGUGGACCCAUGUGGAUCGAUUGGGCAGCAAAGCAACUCAAAUUCAUGCACCAGGGACAACCAAUUUAGUUAACAGGAGUGCAAAUCAGCUUCAUCAAGUUCAACCAAUCACUUGUGCCCAGUUGUGUGCGCUGGAGGAGACCAAUGCUGUGGCUCACAUAGUUUGUCUGUAUGCAGUGGGAGAGGAGGUGAUUAUCGAGCGUAUUCCAGUCGAGAUACAGACAAUGUUGCAAAAAUUUCAGGAGGUAUUCGAGGAACCAAAUGCAUUGCCACCGCAUCGAGAGUGGGAUUAUGUCAUUCCCAUCAUUCCAAGAGCUAAGCCAGUCAACGCCCGACCCUACAGAUACACACCUGAGCAGAAGACAGAAAUUGAGACUCAAGUGAAAGAGCUGCUGAAGGCUGGGUUGAUUAUCCCUAGCUCGAGUCCUUAUUCAUCCCCAGUGUUGCUUGUCAAGAAGAAAGAUAUGACAUGGCGAAUGUGCGUGGAUUACCGGCACUUGAACGCAAUCACAGUUAGAAGUGCCUACCCCAUGUCAAUCAUCGAUGAACUCUUAGACGAGCUGGCAGGGUCUCGCUGGUUUUCCAAACUAGACCUACGGGCAGGUUAUAAUCAGAUAAGGCUGUGUGAGGAGGACGAACCAAAGACUGCAUUUAAAACUCACCAGGGACACUUUCAGUUCAGAGUGUUGCCAUACGGGGUGACUGGAGGGCCACCUACAUUCCAAGGUGGGAUGAAUAUAGUGCUGGGACCCUUACUCCGCCAUGGAGUGUAG